RNAcentral lists this long non-coding RNA (252 nucleotides) under Elaeis guineensis (African oil palm). RNAcentral describes it as "long non-coding RNA (EGUI_LNC054780)". Lineage: Eukaryota; Viridiplantae; Streptophyta; Magnoliopsida; Arecales; Arecaceae. The record is from RNAcentral.
CGGGUGAAGUGAUCUUCUAAUACCCCAUUCUUUCAAAUCAAAUCAAAAAUUCAAAUCAUCCUUGGUCUUAUCUUUGAUGUUCCAGAUCAUUGCCACUAGAAGCUUACAUAUGUUCUUUUCAAUGUGCAUGACAUCUAAGUAGUGACGCAAUAAGUUUGUCUCUCAAUAUAGCAAGUCAAAGAAUAUAUAUUUUUUUCUCCAAUUAAAGUGUGCAUCAUCUGCCUUUGAUCGACGCUUCCUCUUCUUACCACC